This is a long non-coding RNA of Gadus macrocephalus (Pacific cod), 351 nucleotides long. RefSeq lists it as uncharacterized. The record is from RefSeq and is a predicted model, not a curated record. The transcript has 3 exons. Lineage: Eukaryota; Metazoa; Chordata; Actinopteri; Gadiformes; Gadidae.
GGUGCAGGCGGUCAAACUUCCACCUCUUUGAAGAGACCAAGCAGAUUGAUGACUGACUGGUUCUUUAUACUCAAGACCUCGUCCCGGAGCAGAGGACGGACCUAAGGCCCGCAGUGCAGCCGACUAGAGACUCCAUGUGGAACCGGUUCAAUUAAGUUGACCUCUCCUUCAGGCGACUUAAAGGGAGACCAGAUGUGUGGCAGCUGGGUGUCAUGGUGCAGAGACCCAACGCUGUACUGAACUACACCAGUGUGUCCUACUCCCAUAAACCCUGAGGAUCCCUGGAUGGCUACACCAGCACAUUAAUCCACAACCAACAUCAACACACAGUGCACACUCUAUAGAGCUCGU